RNAcentral lists this ribosomal RNA (899 nucleotides) under uncultured Bacillota bacterium. RNAcentral describes it as "bacterial SSU rRNA". It matches the Rfam family "Bacterial small subunit ribosomal RNA", at positions 77 to 960 of the family's 1533-position model. The record is from RNAcentral. Lineage: Bacteria; Bacillati; Bacillota.
CCUUCGGGGCCCAGUGGCGAACGGGUGCGUAACACGUNAGCAACCUGCCUUGGGGUGGGGGAUAACCCGGGGAAACCCGGGCUAAUACCGCAUGUCCUCGCUUUCUCCGCAUGGGGAUGCGAGGAAAGGGGCUCAAAAGGCCCUGCCUUGAGAGGGGCUCGCGGCGUAUCAGGUAGAUGGUGGGGUAAUGGCCUACCAUGCCUACGACGCGUAGCCGAUCUGAGAGGAUGAUCGGCCACAUUGGGACUGAGAUACGGCCCAGACUCCUACGGGAGGCAGCAGUGGGGAAUCUUGCGCAAUGGGCGAAAGCCUGACGCAGCGACGCCGCGUGCGGGAGGAAGCCCCUCGGGGUGUAAACCGCUGUCAGGAGGGAAGAAUGGCUGUCCGAGGAAAUGCGGGCAGUUUGACGGUACCUCCAGAGGAAGCACCGGCUAACUCUGUGCCAGCAGCCGCGGUAAUACAGAGGGUGCGAGCGUUGUUCGGAAUUACUGGGCGUAAAGCGCGCGCAGGCGGCCCUUUAAGUCUACCCGUGAAAUGCCGGAGCUCAACUCCGUGCACGCCGGGGGAUACUGGAGGGCUGGAGACAGGUAGAGGCAGGCGGAAUUCCGGGUGUAGCGGUGGAAUGCGUAGAGAUCCGGAAGAACACCAGAGGCGAAGGCGGCCUGCUGGGCCUUGUCUGACGCUGAGGCGCGAAAGCGUGGGGAGCGAACAGGAUUAGAUACCCUGGUAGUCCACGCCGUAAACGAUGGGCACUGGGCGCGGGGUGGGAUCGACCCCUUCCGUGCCGCAGCUAACGCGCUAAGUGCCCCGCCUGGGGAGUACGGCCGCAAGGCUGAAACUCAAAGGAAUUGACGGGGGCCCGCACAAGCGGUGGAGCAUGUGGUUUAAUUCGAAGCACG